AGUUUGCAUCGUUUGCAUUCUGUUCGCGAACCUGUCAGUAAGAUUAUCAGCACUAAUUAUCGCACAGGAUUGGUUUUUACUUUUUAUGGUCGUCAACGUUGAUUUCAAGUGUCGUCAUUUUAGCCUAAUAUUCGUGCUGAUUGGUGGUAUUGUGCCAACUGACAAAAUUGCGAACAGAGUGAUAUUUCACUUUAGUUCUGUGGCUCUGUGGUCGUUGACACGCAUUAUUAUGGUCAGAUUAUGGUGAUAGAAUGCUACAUAGGGUGAAGGCUUAGGUUAGGUUAAUUUAUUUCUGAAGCUUACUGUUGUCUGUCAAACUUUUCAUAUAUGCUUAUCUAUUUGAUAAGCACAGCCCACAGGUUAUCAUCACAACAAUGCCGAGCGUCCGCCGCCGGCUCAUCCACCGCUGAUAGCGCCGGGUGUGGAGCUCCGGUGUUUUUGUGGGCGCCGUCCUGCCGCUCUCCUGAACUACUAAACCCAUGGCGUGCGCAUGGACCGGACUUCAGAGGGCCAUACACGUCCGUUCACACCAGGCCAGCUGGACAGAAGGUGGGAUACACCCAGCUGCGAGUGGUGGGUCGACGCUCUGAGUGAAGACAGAUGCGGGUCUUGGUGAAGGCAGAGACAGAGGCAGGUUCUGCAGAGCUAAGGUGCCGGACUUGCCGAUGAUGAUGUGCGUCGCAAUGAGUUGGAUAUCGUGGCUCCUACAUACUCGUACACACCGACAUCAUACGAAAUAAAUCUUGAUAUUUAAUUCGAUCACUCUGGUUUCAUAUCGUUAAUGUUGCCUAUCGACAUAUGGUUUUUGGUAGCAAAUAAAAUGUUAAAAUGUAUCUAUGCUGCAGAUUACGCUGAGCUCAACUAAUAUAUGCUGCGGCUGCAAUGCAAACGGUGGUUCCAAAGCCACUCGUCAAACCACCACCAGCAGGUGACGUACCCGCUCUCCACCAGCAC
Molecule: long non-coding RNA, 954 nt
Organism: Amphibalanus amphitrite
Lineage: Eukaryota; Metazoa; Arthropoda; Thecostraca; Balanomorpha; Balanidae
Exons: 3
Source: RefSeq, a predicted model, not a curated record